AGAGUUUGAUCAUGGCUCAGAACGAACGCUGGCGGCAGGCCUAACACAUGCAAGUCGAGCGCCCCGCAAGGGGAGCGGCGGACGGGUGAGUAACACGUGGGAAUUUUCUUCAAGGUACGGAACAACUCAGGGAAACUUGGGCUAAUACCGUAUGAUGCAGAGAUGCCAAAGAUUUAUCGCCUUGGGAUAAGCCCGCGUCAGAUUAGGUAGUUGGUGGGGUAAUGGCCUACCAAGCCUGUGAUCUGUAGCUGGUCUGAGAGGACGAUCAGCCACAUUGGGACUGAGACACGGCCCAAACUCCUACGGGAGGCAGCAGUGGGGAAUCUUGCGCAAUGGGCGAAAGCCUGACGCAGCCAUGCCGCGUGAAUGAUGAAGGUCUUAGGAUUGUAAAGUUCUUUCGCCCGUGACGAUGAUGACGGUAACGGGAGAAGAAGCCCCGGCUAACUUCGUGCCAGCAGCCGCGGUAAUACGAAGGGGGCUAGCGUUGUUCGGAAUUACUGGGCGUAAAGCGCGCGUAGGCGGCUUUGCAAGCCAGAGGUGAAAUGCCUGAGCUCAACUUAGGAAUUGCCUUUGGGACUGCGAGGCUUCGAGGACGGAAGAGGUGAGUGGAAUUCCCAGUGUAGAGGUGAAAUUCGUAGAUAUUGGGAAGAACACCGGUGGCGAAGGCGGCUCACUGGUCCGUUUCUGACGCUAAAGCGCGAAAGCGUGGGGAUCAAACAGGAUUAGAUACCCUGGUAGUCCACGCUGUAAACGAUGAGUGCUAGGCGUCGGCACGCUUGCGUGUCGGUGCCGCAGCUAAC
Molecule: ribosomal RNA, 800 nt
Filed under: uncultured bacterium
Lineage: Bacteria
Description: bacterial SSU rRNA
Rfam family: Bacterial small subunit ribosomal RNA
Source: RNAcentral